This 468-nucleotide ribosomal RNA is filed under the name uncultured bacterium. Its description in RNAcentral is "partial 16S ribosomal RNA". It matches the Rfam family "Bacterial small subunit ribosomal RNA", at positions 28 to 507 of the family's 1533-position model. The record is from RNAcentral.
GACGAACGCUGGCGGCGUGCUUAACACAUGCAAGUCGAACGGAAAGGCCCUGCUUUUGUGGGGUUCUCGAUUGGCGAACGGGUGAGUAACACGUGAGUAACCUGCCCUUGACUUUGGGAUAACUUCAGGAAACUGGGGCUCAUACCGGAUAUGAUCUCCUGCUGCAUGUUGGGGGUUGGAAAGUUUCGGCGGUUGGGGAUAGACUCGCGGCUUAUCAGCUUGUUGGUGGGGUAGUGGCUUACCAAGGCUUUGACGGGUAGCCGGCCUGAGAGGGUGAACGGCGACAUGGGGACUGAGAUACGGCGCAGAAGCGUACGGGAGGCAGCAGGGGGGAAUAUUGCACAAUGGGCGGAAGCCUGAGGCAGCAACGCCGCGUGCGGGAUGACGGCCUUCGGGUGGUAAACAGAUGUGGCCUGUGACGAAGAGUGAGUGACGGUAAUAGGUAAAGAAGCACCGGCUAACUACGUG